Molecule: transfer-messenger RNA, 359 nt
Filed under: bacterium
Lineage: Bacteria
Also listed under: 1 other name
Description: JADFYH01 sp015233135 Standard tmRNA
Rfam family: transfer-messenger RNA
About the family: Bacterial tmRNA, also known as 10Sa RNA or SsrA, is named for its dual tRNA and mRNA-like properties. Its role is to liberate the mRNA from a stalled ribosome.
Source: RNAcentral
GGGGGCGAAUAGUUUCGACGGAAUGUAGGCGAGGACGUGUCGCAGGUCGAGCAAGCUUGUAGCUCGUCAAACUCAGGCAAAAAACAACUGCAAACGCAGAAGUCGAUUCUUUCGACUACGCAAUGGCAGCUUAAUCGCCGCCACAUUCUCUAGCACUUCUCCCGCGAGGGCUAGCGAAUGACAAAAAGUGGGAUAGCUCUUGGGAUGUCUGAUCACGAAGAGCGAAAUUCAUCAGGCUGGUUCUUUAGAAAUCGUGCCGAUGCGAGGGCUAAAGAGCGAGACUCAAAAUAUCGGAUAAACCUGUAGAAGCCGUCAUCAAAUCUUUCCGGACGGGGGUGCGAUUCCCCCCGCCUCCAUAU